GUAGUAUUCCCUCAGUCUCAAAAUUCUUGUCUUACAUUUGUUUAGAUACGGAUGUAUCUAACACUAAAAUAUAACUAGAUACAUCCGUAUUUAGACAAAUUUAAGACAAGAAUUUUGGGACGGAGGGAGUACAAA
Triticum aestivum (bread wheat) is the source of this 135-nucleotide non-coding RNA. The record is from Rfam. NCBI's taxonomy places the organism in Eukaryota, Viridiplantae, Streptophyta, Magnoliopsida, Poales, Poaceae.